This 587-nucleotide ribosomal RNA is filed under the name uncultured bacterium. RNAcentral's name for it is "bacterial SSU rRNA". It matches the Rfam family "Bacterial small subunit ribosomal RNA", at positions 108 to 691 of the family's 1533-position model. The record is from RNAcentral.
GAGUAAUGUCUGGGAAACUGCCCGAUGGAGGGGGAUAACUACUGGAAACGGUAGCUAAUACCGCAUAACGUCGCAAGACCAAAGUGGGGGACCUUCGGGCCUCACACCAUCGGAUGUGCCCAGAUGGGAUUAGCUAGUAGGUGGGGUAAUGGCUCACCUAGGCGACGAUCCCUAGCUGGUCUGAGAGGAUGACCAGCCACACUGGAACUGAGACACGGUCCAGACUCCUACGGGAGGCAGCAGUGGGGAAUAUUGCACAAUGGGCGCAAGCCUGAUGCAGCCAUGCCGCGUGUAUGAAGAAGGCCUUCGGGUUGUAAAGUACUUUCAGCGGGGAGGAAGGCGGUGAAGUUAAUAGCUUCACCGAUUGACGUUACCCGCAGAAGAAGCACCGGCUAACUCCGUGCCAGCAGCCGCGGUAAUACGGAGGGUGCAAGCGUUAAUCGGAAUUACUGGGCGUAAAGCGCACGCAGGCGGUCUGUCAAGUCGGAUGUGAAAUCCCCGGGCUUAACCUGGGAACUGCAUUCGAAACUGGCAGGCUAGAGUCUUGUAGAGGGGGGUAGAAUUCCAGGUGUAGCGGUGAAAUGCGU